This 75-nucleotide transfer RNA is filed under the name Puniceicoccales bacterium. RNAcentral describes it as "tRNA-Cys". It matches the Rfam family "tRNA". Rfam says of the family: Transfer RNA (tRNA) molecules are approximately 80 nucleotides in length. Their secondary structure includes four short double-helical elements and three loops (D, anti-codon, and T loops). Lineage: Bacteria; Pseudomonadati; Verrucomicrobiota; Opitutia; Puniceicoccales. The record is from RNAcentral.
GGCACGGUAGCCAAGUGGUAAGGCAGGAGUCUGCAAAACUCUUAUACGUCGGUUCAAUUCCGACCCGUGCCUCCA